RNAcentral lists this ribosomal RNA (254 nucleotides) under uncultured bacterium. RNAcentral's name for it is "partial 16S ribosomal RNA". It matches the Rfam family "Bacterial small subunit ribosomal RNA", at positions 524 to 776 of the family's 1533-position model. The record is from RNAcentral.
UACAGAGGCGGCAAGCGUUGUUCGGAAUUAUUGGGCGUAAAGAGCACGUAGGCGGCUGUGUAAGUCGGUUGUGAAAGCCUUCCGCUCAACGGAAGAACGGCAGUCGAUACUGCAUGGCUUGAGUGCGGGAGGGGAGAGUGGAACUUCUGGUGGAGCGGUGAAAUGCGUAGAUAUCAGAAGGAACGCCGGCGGCGAAAGCGGCUCUCUGGCCCAUAACUGACGCUGAGUGUGCGAAAGCUAGGGGAGCAAACGGG